Molecule: long non-coding RNA, 19858 nt
Organism: Gallus gallus (chicken)
Lineage: Eukaryota; Metazoa; Chordata; Aves; Galliformes; Phasianidae
Exons: 3
Source: RefSeq, a predicted model, not a curated record
GGCAUCAGGAGGGCCUGGUAGCAGCGAGGUGGAGCGGCGCGGCGCCCAGCGGUGCCCGGGUCACGCCGACCCGGCUGCAGAUGCCGCAGGGCCCCACGUUCGAGGCCGCGCUCGGCAGCAAACGCGACCAUCACCGGGUGGAGCGCCGAUAAACUCUUCGCCGUUUGGGACAAACGCGCUGAGUUGGGCGCCUGGGCGGCCGCAGCCUGAGGAGGACGGAUAUCGUGUGAAGCGGUGGUGUCUGAGACAAAGAGAGGCGGAGGUUGCUGAGAACCAGGUGCUACCAUAGAAUCACAGGAUCGUUAUUGUUGGAAAAGACCUCUGGGGUCACCACAUCCAACCAGCAGCCCAUCCCAUCGUGCCUGCCCCUCAGUGCCACAUCCACACGGUUCUUGAACACCUCCGUGGACGGUGACUCCACCACCUCCCUGGGCUGCCUGUGCCACUGCAGCACCACGCUUUCAAAGAAAUUUUUCCUUAUAUCCAACCAAACCUCCCCUGGUGCAACUUGACACCACUCCUGUUUUUUUAGAGCAAGCACAGACUGUUCAUUCCAUCCGAAAUAAUCCUGUGGUGUUUUCGCUGGGGAAAGCCUUUGUGUAGACACACAUCCAUGAUAUAUCUGCAUGACAGAAACUACCCCCACAGAAAAAUAACUUGAGUUGAUGCUGCAGUAGUGAUCAGGAAGGGAUGGAUGGGUGGGUGGACCUGAACUGCAUUUUGGGAUGACUGUGCAGCUGGAGUUCACAUCUGCAGAGCUCAGAUGCAGAGACUCUUAGAUGAAAUCAGCAGAAGGAGAGGUGAAAACAGAUGGGGGUUCCACCACAAUUAAACAGAAGAGAAGUGCAGGUCUAAGCAGAGAAUGAGCUGUUUCCUGUCAGCACCCUGUGCUCUGCACCUUAGCGAUGGGUAGAGUAGGAUUAGGACUGUGUUGGGUUUGUCAGCAAAACCUUGAGCUGACUGCCCAAGUUAUCAAAGAAUGUCAUGGAAUCAUUAAGGUUGCAAAAGACCUCCGAGAUCUUCAAGCACAACCAUCAGCUCAUCCCACCGUGUCCACCAGUCACAUCCCUCAGUGCCACAUCUAUAUGUUCUUAAAGACCUCCAGGUGUGGUGACUCCACCACCUGCCUGGGCAGCCUGUUCCACUGCAGCACCACUCUUUCUGAGAAGUUUUUCCUCAUAUCCAACCUGAACCUCCCCUAGGAUGACUCGAGGCUGUCAUCUAGGGUCAGGCCUCUUGUUUUCAGGGAGGUACUGUAAGGAAGCUGCACGCUGAGUGAAGAACACCCAAAAGGCAGCCAGCUGGAAACUUGCAAAUGCACAAGGCUGUUGUAGUCUCUCCUCUUUGCAGUGCUGGUGAUGGACUCAGGUCAUUAUAGAAGUACGUCUAAGUGCCUUACCCUGAACAAAUGCUUGUGGUUGUUUUGAAGUGAUCGAGCAGAGAGUACCCUUUGGAAAUGAGUACAGCAGCAGGAGAUGGAAGCUGCUGUGCCAUAGCUCAGGGCCCUGUGUUCAGGGGGAUAAUGGCCUGCGUUUCGCUUCAGAGACUGAUGCAGGGAACGCAAAAGGCCCUUCUACCCUAACAGCCAGGAUAUGUGCCAGCCUUGUGAGUGUGUGGAUGUGCUAAUAGAAGUCUCUGUCUGGGUUCACCCUCUCCUUAAGAAGUGAUAGAGGAGAGGCAGUGGGACAGCCCAGAACCAAGGUUUCCAUGGUGUUGGAGAUGUCCGAACAGCUCACCCGAUGCGUGCAAGAUGCAUCAUCAUGAAUAAAGAAUUUCUGGUUAGACAUAAGGUGGAAAUUAUUUACUCAGAGGGCAGUGAGGCCCUGGCACAGCUGCCCAGAGAAGCUGUGGUGCCCCAUCCCUGGAGGCACUCAUGGCCAGGUUGGAUGGGCCCCUGGGCAGCUGAGCUGCGUGGGGAGUAGGGGAGCAGCCCUGCCCACAGCAGGGGGCUGGAACUGGAUGGGCUUUAAGGUUCCCUUCCAAACUAAUCCAUUCUGUGAUUCUACAGUUCUAUGUUCUGCCACUUUCAAGGAGUGAGGAGGGCAAGGAGAGGUGGGCCGCACUGAUGGCUGGUGGAUAUGGCUGUGAUUUUGAAAAGUUGCUGAGCUGGCGAAGGGGCCUGGCCUCUGUCUGUACUUCUGCUAUUAUUUCCUUUUUUUUUUUUUUUUUUUUUCUUUUUAAAACAAUAGAACUGGCAUUACAGUCAACAUUCCUAAGUGCAGCAGAGACCACUGAGCCUUUGCUCUCUAUUCUUUAGAGACCCUAACUGUAAUGGUAGCGGUGGUGCAGUACAGGUGUUCCUCUGCCAGCCUUUUUCCGGAGCAUGCUAGGUUCAAGCAGCAGUUGUUGGUGAGGAUGGGCUACAAGUAAGUGAAGAAGCAUUAAUUGCUUCUGUAGGUGCCUGGUUAUGUGUAAGACUUGACUAUUUUAGCCUAAGUGGGAGGAGAAUGGUUUUAUGACCUUAUAAUUAGCAUUUGUGUGAGAUUAACAGCAAGACUUACUAAAGCAUUUCUGAUAACACGGUUUCCUUUUUUACAUUGCUUAAUUAAAAAAGAACACUUCAGCGUGUUUUACAACACAUCUUUAAGUAAGCAAACAGAGAAGACUAAAUUACAAGGGAUGGUCUAGAGGUCUGCUACUGAGAUUCAUGGCAUCUGAAAUGUAUCUGGGAAAUUAAAGAAAGCUGAUGAUCUGGCAAAGAGUGAAUUGGGCAGAGGGCAGAGCAGUGAUACUUAGGAACAUCUCGGAGUGAUUAUUAGAGUAGCUUGGGAGGCACCAGGUUAAGUAAGAGACCCAAACUGGUCAGGGUAGGCUAACAUGCUACAGUACGUCCUUGCUGUCAGCUUUUCUAAUGGCGGUGAAGCACAACCGCUUUCGCAUAUGUGGGCUAUGAAUUUGUGAUGUAUUUACCCCCUGCAUCUCCCAUACACAUCUCUUUCUUUUUGCUCUACCAGUGGCCUCUUCAUUUCUGCCUCCUUUGAUGAUGUGCUUUUAGACUUUUUUCCAGAGAGACUGGGAUUUUCAGGAAGCCUAAAGGGAAUUACUUGCCCAGCUGCCAAUGCAUUUCAAUGUGCCUGUAAAUCUCACCCUCACAUUUUUAGAGCAUUCGAGCUCCUUGCCUCCUCAUAUUGCUACUAUUAGAUCGUCAGUUUUCUUUUCAGCACUCUGUGACUUUGGUCACAGAUGGCUGCAGCAGUCUGCAGCUAUGUCUGGUCGACGGAGCAGAUGACACCAGCGUUGUGCUUAUAUGUAAUGUUCCUAUCUGGCGGAGAGCUCAGACAGGGUCUGGUUAAACUGCCAGAGGACCUCCUGUUGGUCCUGAGGUACAGUUGGGAAGCAGGAGCUGAAUGUUGGGACGUUGCUUCUGUCAGUGUCUGAACGCUUCUCUGUCUGACAAGGUGGAAAUGGUCUUCUUACUUCUUGUUUGGGUUUGCCUCUGGUGGCCCCAGCUUCAUCCCUGGAACCUGGCUUACUCACUUUUCUGAGAAUGUUCUUCUUGCUUGGGUCAUAUCAAAAGAAUCAUACUGAGAAGACGGCUACCGACUGUUUCUUGGGACCACAGAUCUACAUUAUGCUUUAUAAACAGUAUGAAACGUGUCUCACUCUAAAGUUUACAUACUUUACCCAGAAACAAGACUUUAUUAUUGCCUUCUUGUUUUGGUGGAAUGAACCCCCGGCACACCAACACCCGGAGCAUGCCAGUAUAAACUGGCAUAAAUCAUUGCCAUUCUGCUAAGUUUGAAAAGAACGAUGUCUGAGCCACAGUCAUGUGCAGUCUGGUUCCUUUAUUUUCCAUGUGGGUCCCUCCUGCUGAGGGAAAUGAGCUCGUAAUGGGAGGCUCAUGCGUACCUGCAGCUUGUGAGUACUCCUCCUCCUCCUUGGUCCUGUUUACCCUUUGCUUUCUUCCAUCACUUUCACAUGGCUUGAGAGUGUCCAGAUGUUUCUGGGCUCGGAGCUGCUGGAAUUUUGAUUGCAGCUGACAUGCUGGUGUGCUGCGGCAUCAGGUAGCCUGCAUCUGAAAUGUGGUGAGAAGCUCUGCUGUGACCUCUGUGGCUGGAGGCCUUAUUAUUCUGACCUGUCAGAGGGAAAUCUGGGAGGUGUUGUGCUCUUGAAAAUAAAGAGUCCUGGCAUCCUCGGUGUCUUCCCGGGAAUGAUGGCCUUUGUGAGUGAUGUGCUUAUUAGACCUUCUGGUCUUAUUGCAAAUAAGGAGAUGAAAGAAUGUGCAUUUUUGGAUUGCCCACAGCAUGGCUGCAUGGUACAGGUUGGAAACUCAUCUCUCAUGGAUACUUUGUGGAGUUGUGCUGCUGUCACAGGGAGCAGAGAAACGUGGGUGUUUCUGCUGUCACUGCUUGUCUAAAAAUCAGUUCUGAGCAACUAAGCACCAUUUCUUUUAUCUGCACGAGGUAGAGGAUUUCCCAGUGCAGAAGCUAUGCACAGUCAUGGCUCAAGACUUUUGCAGUCUGUGUGACCAGAGACAAGUGCCCAAUACAGGGUAUCUGUUGUGACAGGACAAGGGGAAAUGGUUUCAAACUAAAAGAAGGGAGAUUAGAGUGAACAUAAGGGAGAAGUUUUUUUACACUAAGGCUAGUGAGGCACUGGCACAGGUUGCCCAGAUAGGUGGUGGAUACCCCAUCUGUAGAGACACUCAAGGUGAGGCUGGAUGGGGCUCUGAGCAGUCUGAUGUAGUGUAGGCAUCCCUGUUCAUUGCAGGGGAGUUGGACUAGAUGACCCUUAAUGGUCUCUUCCAACUCAAAUGAUUCCAUGAUUCUAUGAGUGCCUCUGACCAGUGCAGCAGACCAUAUCAUUUCUUGAAUCCACCAAGAAGAGGAGAGGAGACCACUGUUUUUGGCAUAUACCACUUUCCCCUUCCUGCAACACCUUCCUCAGCAGACGUUUUCAGAAAUACUGCACUAGGUGUUUAUCACUGCACAUUUUGGAGAGGAAAAUAAAGGCAUUGGGGUUUGCUUUGAGCAGUGUGUGGCUGUUCUUCCUGGAGGCCGCAGGACUCCUAGAUGCAGUCCACAAAGUCUCCUUUGACAUUUAAAGCUGUAAAUGGCUUGGGGUCUGGCUGCCAUGGAGACAUGAUCUCAGCCAUCUGACGCACAGUGUUUGAGCUCAGACAGGGACUCGAAUCAAUGGCUCCAGAAAGGAGGCAGUGGGGCAUUAUCAAUGAAAUGUUUUCAGCUGUAAUGCCUCCUUGUUGGCCUACAGACCGUGCUUUCUUUGUAGAUACCUGGAAGGACUGUAGUCCUUGUAGGCUUUGUCUGGAUAGAGUGUCACAGCACUUCUAUUUUUGCAAAGCUUGAACUGUGACCGAAGUUUCAGUAGGAUGCAUUAUUUAUACCUGUGGACACCAGUACAUAUCAGAGGGAGGGAGGUGUGAAUGUUUUCAGAAGAUGCAGAUGGGGAUUUUCAAACCAGUAAGAGCGCAGAGGACUCAGCUUCCACCAAGAAGCAGCAAGAUGUGGGCACCAAAGUUCAUUCCUUCUUUUGGGAAGGAGUCUCAGUUGCAAUCCGUAAAUAACCUUUGAAUCACAUUCUUCUCUGUCUGCAUAGCUGGAAAAUGCUUCAUGUUGCACUGGAUAAUAUGUGAAACACAGUGACCCAGCACCCAGCAUGCAGUGUGCAUAGGUCGGCUGUGCUGCAGGAACAGCCAACAAGCAGCAUCGCUGUCUUGAUGAAGUCUCCAGAUUUUAGGACUGCCUCUUGUCUAAAAUUUUAGAGUUUCAAUGUAGACAAGCCUUUUAUCUUUCCAUUUCAAUUUUUUCACCAUGCUCGGAGACAAAGAAGCGUUCUAACAAGUGAAACACGUUAUGCUUCCAAGCAUCUCCCAGCACCUUCCGAAGCUAUGCUUUAGCCACAUCAGCUUCUUUGCUGAGACAGAUGAGAUGGAAAUCAUGAUUUAUUUAUUUUUUUUACUACUGUGUGCUCAGGUGACAUAGCUAUCUGGAAUUUUGCAGUCCACUCAUAUCUUAGUGGUUCUCUUGAGAGGUGUAUGAGUAACAUUUGGGGAAGCUGUUUGUGGUAGUCCUUCAUCAUGGUAGUCACAACAGAGAUCCUAAAACAAAGGACUCAGUGUUUUACCAAGAGAAACCACAGUAACAAGUUUCAGUGUAAAUGAGAGUCGUAUUGCCUUCCAUCAGAGAUGACUUGAAAAUAAAGUACUUUGAUGGUAAUACUGCAGAUAUCUGCAGGAAACCCAGCACAGCCUUGAACACUGUAGUUAGAUAGCUGUGCAAAAAAGUACAUGAAGGGAAGAGCUAAUGUGCAAUACUUCUAUUUAAGAUAGAGGGAGGAAAUAGAAAUUGUGAUAGCAUGCUAUUUCAAGUAAUAAUAGAAAGUACUUGAUGUUUACAUGGUGAAUGGAUCAAUACUAAUUCUGUAGUCAGGGCACAUACAGUAGUUUGGAUUAUACAAGUGAUAGAUGCACUUGGUAUAGCUGAAAUUUCCACCCUGCAACAUUUAUUUCUCAGCGCGUGUUCGAUGGAAUUUUCCACCCAACUAUCUGAAAGGAUUUGCAUAAGAAUGGUGAUAGAGCAGUAUUCUUUAAUGAUGUGCUUUUCUUUGUUAAACUUCAAAAAUGUCUACGAUGCAUGAUGAGGUUCGGAUGAAUUGCUAAGCUAAUGCUUUUAUAUUUUCUUUAAAGAGCUUAUCUUCACUGUGUUGUGGGAGUUACUUUAUAUUGUUGUCAUUAAAGGCAGUAGCAGUAAAGCCGACUUUGUAGCAACCCUGGUAGGUGUGCCCUCCUCCUUUACCUCAGGUCUUCGGUACUGCCGAAGGAGACAGAUUGCAACACCCAUUACCACGCACCUGUUUGUCCUACUGUUAGCUCAUUUGUACUGCUUCUGUGGUGCUACACAUGGCAUUACUCAUGGCUGCACUGUGUCAUUUUGCGUUUAAAGCAAUGACCCUCUUCACAUUUAAUCUAGAUCAGCCCAAGUCGCUGUACUGUUUGUGGAAACUGGGUCAAAGCCAGGCUCUUCCCAGGAUGACGUCUUGAUUUAGGAGAAACUCAGGAUUAAACCAAAUGUCCACAUCUGCUAGUGGAGAUUUUUACAAAAGGAUGGAGAAGACUCAUUUUUUUUUCCUUAGCCCCUUCCAAUAAAAGUCUAAUUAAAAAAAAUCCCCAAAACUGUGAGGGUAAACCUGCUUGGAGUGUGGUGAAUUUUGGGAAAGCAACCUGCACGAAACAGUGUUUGUUUUCUUGGCCUCGGGUCCAAUGAGUCACCUUCUAAACUGCCCUGUAGUGAUGCUACUCGCGAGCCUCAAACAGCUGGGAAGACAAGGGAGAUGAGUGACUGCGAGGUUUGUCAUCAAAUCAUUGCAUGGAAGGUUCAAUUAUUCCACUUUCAUGACAGGUAGUAGAGUGGGGCUAACUCAGUUCAGAGUGAAGACUUCUAUUUGCAGUGUCAGCGUAACUGAGGAACUGUUUGGCUGAAUAUUUUGUUGGAUGUGGUUUAUUAUUAUUAUUGCUAUUAUUAUUACCUCUCCUUGUAAUAGGAAGCGAUUGUAAAGAAAUUUUAACUGAUUAAUUUUUGCCCUAAUCAUCUGAUGCUCUGAUCUGAUAUAGAACCUCAGCGAUACAUUUCAACUUGCAUUUGAUUUGUGUUUCUGAAAAGAUAAUAGUAGCUGCAUAUCCUGAUCAUUCCAGCAAUAUAUAUGGAGUGCUCUGAAAGUAAUGCCUCCUAUUUUAUGAUGUUGGCCUGCAACAUCAGAGGCAGAUACUGGUGGUUUACGAUAGAGGCUGAACCUUCCUGCCAAUAUCCCAUUCCAUUUUGCUGCCAUGUGACAGAUAACAGCAGAAGGACAGUCUGACAGAACGGCGUCUGACACAGAAGUUCACAGGAAGCAAAAGUAUGACACUGAAUUCCUCCAUGUGGAAAAAAUGGCACCCACUGACAUUCACCCAUGCUUGGUGAAUGUGUACGGAGACCAAAUAGCAGGUGUGAGCACAGUGAGGCAGUGGGUGGUGUAUUUCAGCAGCGGUGAUAGUGACAGCAGGUCACCCCCGCUGGAGCAGAUUGUUGAGUGUGGCAUGCAGGCUCUUGUUUGCUGCUAGCAAAAGUGCGUAGCUAAUGGUGGUGACUAUGUUGAGAAACAGUGUUUUGUAGCUGAGAAUUUAUUCUAUCAUUGUUCUCUUUGUAUCUGUUGUGGUUUCCAUGGAAAUAAACAGGAGGCAUUAUUUUCAGAGUUAUCUAUGCGUGAGAGUCCAGCACAUCCCAUGGGUCUGUGUCCGUAUUCAGUCAUGACUAGAAAGUAAGGACUGAUACACCUUUAUGUACUCUGCCCACUUAACUUCGGCCUCUUUCCAAGUUCUCCAGACUAUAGGAAGACUCUUUGUAUCAAGAGGAGAACACAGGUAUCUAAACUGAAAGAAGGGUCAAUGGGAGUAGUUUGGGGCUGCAUUGUCUGCUAGUUUAAUCUACAGCACCUUUUGUUUGCUUCAGAAUGGUUGAGUGCGGUGUACUGUUAGAUGCCCCUAAGCCCUCUCUGCCCCAUGCUGAACCAUCCCAGCCCCACAGACCCUGCUCACAGGAUGAGCGCUCCAGCCCCACCAUCCUAUGGGCAUUCACUGUGCGUCUCUGGCUUAUGGAACCCCAGAUGUGAUGUAGGGCCUGGAUGAGGCCCUGAUGGGUGCUUAACAGAAGGGCCUCCUGCUGCUAGGGCAGGCUGCCUGCUGCUCCUACUCCAAUCGCAUGGUGUCCUCAUUGGCCGCUUCCUUCAACACGCUCUUUAUUUAUGUAUAAAUAUUUGCCUAAACUGUAUUUUUUUAAAAAGUGUUUCUGCUGACAUAUAAGCCAGCAUGUUUAAGCCAUACCAUCCAUAAAUUCAUGCUUGCAUUUGUUGAGUUAGUGAGGUGAGACCGAUUCCCCACAUCUCUUAAAUCAGUACUGCUCUGACUCGUGUAGUCCAGACCAUAACACAGCUCUGAUCCUUCUGGAAAUGUCUCCUGGUGGUGGCAAAUUAUGUUUAGACUUAGAACCACUAUGGCUGGAAAAGACUUAAGAUCAUCAAGUCCAACCACCAGCCCAUUUUCACCAUGCCCACUAACCGUGUCCCUCAGUGCCACAUCUACAUGGUUCUUGAACACCUCCAGGGAUGGCAUCCAUUACAUGGAUUUGAGCUGUGGUUCCUCUUGUUAACAGGAAUGAAGAUGGCCUAGUGGGGCUGAUGGCCACUUCAGAGGGGGGGAUGCUGCAGCAGUACUGAUGCUAAAGCUGAAUGUACGUGGAAAGAAUCAAGGACAGCUUUAAGACACACUUUUGCAUGCGUAUGUGCUAUUUGAUGUGAAUUUCCUUUUUUUUUUUUUAAACAAGAAAUAUGCCAGACUUGUUCCUGCAAAGCUCUCCUGUCCAUGACAAAAUUGCCUAUGUGGCUGGGUUCAUUUGUUACUUGCUCAUGGCAUGUGUGCCCUUCCCAUUGCGAUGCUCCACAGUGUUGGGCAAGGUAUGCAGCACUGGGGUGGCUGUGUUGCGGAGCAAGUCUUCCUGGGGAUCUGUGUCUCAUCAGAUGUUGCGGGUAUUGGCCACCCAGAGGCACAAAUUCUGCCUGCUAAAAUGGCAGCAUGCUUAAAAAUCCGUGUCCAAAAAGCAUCUAGCAGGAGGGUAGAAGAUAAAGGUGUGUAUGAGUUUCUUGCUAUGCUUUACACUCUAGUCUUAGUUGCUAUUCUGCUACAGCUCUGUCUGACACCUCAGCAUGCCAGCUGCACUCAUUUUACACAACAACUGAAUCCCCAAUUAGUGCAAUUGAUGUUAUUUUGCCAUUUACACCUGUUCUCUGGCAAUGAACUUCUUCAAGAAUAUGUCUGGUGACUCUGCAGAAGCUGGUGAGCCCCAGCCACCACAGUUUUUUCUUAUGCCACUGUUAGAGCAGGCACUUGGGUGAGGAUAUGAUCACAGCUGAAUUGCACAAACCUGUUUCAGACUACAUUAAAAGACACCGAAGUGUUUAUCAUGGCAAUUUGGAACCAGAAUUCUUUCUGAGCUGAAAAAAACGCUGCACCCUAAUGAAAACAAAAGCAAGACCACAAAAUGACACCACCAACACUAAAACAACAACAACGAGAAAACCUUCAAUUAUGUUUCUCCUGUUAAGAGGCUUUAGCUGGACAGUACCGGAGAUGUAGGCUGUUUGCUGAAGACAGAGAUGCAGCUGGUUCCUUCUCCUCAUCCCAUCCUGCCUCUUUCCAGCAGCCAGUUCAGCUGUGGCUUGGUGCUGGAACCUCUUCUCUAGCGAGGCAAAAGCAAUGUGAUGGAGGCCUCUAGUCUGGUUUGCCAAGUACGUGGUACAGCUACGUCACCAGCCGCACUUUGGUCUGGGCUGCAACCAGGACUGAAGGUGUGAGAUUUUCCUGUCUCAAGUCUAGCUGACAGAGUGGUACAGUUUUAAACUCCACUUACUUGUGUCUGGUCAAAAGAUACUCGGCAUGAGUUUUAUUCCUUCCUUUUGGAUGGGUGGACCAACUCAGUGGCUUCUCUCGUUGUAUUUGGUUUGGCCAAAAGCUGCAGUAGUGUCUUGUGAAGCCUUCCUAAGAGACAAAUGUGUUUUGGAUUAAGGCAGUUAGAAGAAAGAAUUUUGUUGCAAAUAUUUUUCUUUCUCUCUCUCUCUCUCUCUCCCUUUUUUUUUGUAUGUACAGAAAGACUAGCUUCGCCAAGUGCCCCUUUUGCAGUCUCUUGAAUGUUAUCUAGUUUGCCCUUCUGUGUAGGAAUGGCUGUUAGAGUGUGUAGCUUCCCAUAAUGACGCGAAGUAGUGGGAUACCCCGCAUGGGAGAUUCUGGUCUACUGCUCCCAUAAAACAUUUCUGCUGUACACCAGUUCUGCACUACUGCUUUUGUCCAAAAGAUAAAAUACACCUCUGCAUGUUACCUGACCCAUAUUUCAGCACAGAUUGUGUCCUCGGCCACACCUUCUGGAAGUCUUGGCCACCUUUCAUAGCAAGUCAAUGCUUUAGUUAGUAAAUAUUAAGAGCUCUCUGUCCUUGGUGUGUACUUAGAACAAACUGCAGAUAAAAUGCUUACAAAUAAUGAUCUGUCCUAAGUAUUGCAUGAAGCUUUCCAAAAAUAGCUGUCUAUAAGUAAAAAUAAUCCUGAGGUUGUGUAUUAAUAGAAGAUGCUUCAGGUCUUCUCCUUACUUCUGGUGCAACAGAAGAACAAAAAACAAGAGGUCUGAAAUACUGCAGAGACUACUGAUGUGAAGAGAUCUUGGUCUAAAAAUACUUACGUCUUUUAAAGGGACCUACUUUUUGAAAGAAUACUGACUGCCUGUCUUCCAAAAAUUGAGUGAUUUUGUGAUGGUUUGACACAAGUUCACGUAGUCUUUUUCAUUGUCUUGGCCAGUUUUGUGUCACUAUUAUCUCACAAGCUCUGCACCAUAACAUGACCACCUAGUUGUUUUUUCAGUAUUUUAAUGUUUUUAAAGUGAAAGAAGUUAGCAGUAGAUGAGUUAUUAGUGUGAAGGACUGAAUUGCAUAAGGCCAUUUCAAAACAUCCCCUUCCCUUGAGAUUUCGGUGAAAAAAAUAAUUGCUGUUUCCUGUAUUUAUCAUUUGGUAUGGACUGCUUGUCUUGCUUGAGGGCCUAGAGGCUCUGAAUGAAAUUUCACUUUCUUGUGCUAUGUGUAGUACAGAUGGGAACUGUUGGAUAUCCUUUGUACAUUAGAGCUUGUACUCAACAGCAACAGGAAAGGUGAGGAACAGGAAACUAGGAGAGGUUUGCCUUGCUCUGUUUUUUUCAUGCCAUCCUUUAUCACAUCACUAUCUUCCAGAAGCAUUAUAAGUGAUGUGAUUAGUACUCAUUGUGUGCAGUUAUCUUGGUUUAUUUUCAUCCUGAUCCCUUCACUUUGUGUCCCAGCAGUGGGUAGGUCAGAGGAUGGUUCUGGGCACAGGGAUGCUGAGGGCUGAGGCAGGAUUUUGCCUAUCUACAUGCUUGCUCUGCAGGUGUUUCUGUCUUGCAGGUGGGGAGCAUUCCUGGGCAUGUGGAGGGUCAUCUGAGAAUAAAACAUCUGGAGAACCAGGCAAUCUGCUAGGUACCUGGGGCUGUGACCAAAGAUACAGCCUCUGGCCUCUGAUUAUAACCUUGGCUGUGCUCUGUGAGAAGUUUCACCAGUGACCAGCAACCUGGUGUAGCUGUUGAUGCCCCUGUUUGUUGCAGGGGAGUUGGAUUAGCUGACUGUUAAAGAUCCCUUCCAACUCAAACAAUUCUAUGAUUCUGCGAGAAUAGGGGAGUGUAGGAGUGCUGUGUCAGUGGGAAACUACUUGGCAGAAGAUCGUGGCUCCACUGCAUACUGUGCCCCUCCUUCUAUUGAAAUUUUAUGCUGGAUGUGCUGGGUUGGCAGGAUCCAGCAGUUGCUGAAGGUAAUGGUGUCCUUUUCAGGUCAGACUGUGCCUUCCUUGCCCUCCUGGGCUCCCAUCUGCUAGGCACAAAAUGACUGUGCUUUCUUUAAGUUACACCAGCCAUAUACAUUGUGUUAUCAAGUUUCCCUCAUUUUCACUAGGCUGUAGACACUCUUUCUACUACUUCAUAUGGGCAAUUUGAUCCCCUCCGUGCUCAUGUACAGGGUCAGACCCCAGCUGCAUUUGGACCAGUGUUGGCAUCUGGAGGCACACUUGCCUUUUAAGCAAGUCCCCUCCCGAUGCUCUGCCUCCGCAUGCAUUUUUGAUUUACUGUUUACUUUUCCAAGCACAUAACAAGAAGGCAUCAUAAAGCCUUUUAGACACACUUACUCUCUACUUCACAUAGUCCAAGAGGUCUUGUAGAGAUUGAAACAGAACAGCAAAACAUCUGCAUACGCUUAACCUUGCUUCACUUUUGGCAUGGCUCUGAGUGUUCUUUAGGCUUUGAUCAGACCUUUUUAAUCAGUCCAGGGUCUUUCUUCUUCCUCAAUAUCCUUGCACAUGCCUGCUUCUCCAGAGUCGGGAGUCUCCUCACAUUCCUGAAGUCAGUUUUUGCAUCUGUCUUCUAACUCUGAAGUGGCUAGUGAGCACCACCUUGUUUUUGUAGGUCCAGAUCCUCUUUGUCAAGGAGACUCUUGGUUAGUUAACAAGACAAUCCAUGUAGCCUCAGGAGGAGAUCUGUUUGUUAGACUUGAAAAACUGGUUCACCUCUACAAUAGCCAUUUCUUUCUGCAAGGAACUCUGUCUCAAUGGCAUGGGUAAUUAUCUCUUUAGAAAGAGGGCAAAUAACCUCCAUUUUCUUAGUAGAGUCUGCAGUAUGCAAAAUCCCUGCAUGGCAUUUAAAUUUGCAGGCUUUUGAGUUUCCAGCCUUUGACCUGCUGCCUGUUUCUCAGCAUCUUUAUCCCAUGAGGUAUGGACUUCGCUGUCUGAAAAAGAGGACAAGCUUUAGGCUCCUGAGAAGUUUCUAAAUUGAGCAUUAGAUAUUUUUAUCAAAGACUAGAGUCAAACUUAAAUCUGUCUUCAGUAGACGGAAGCCUCUCAGGACUGAAAUUUACAAUACCAAGAUCUUUAUAUGCAUAUAUCCCUUACUAUAGUGUCCUAUCUAGAAACUGCAAUACUUCAAUUUAUUUGGUAGAGCUUUCUGGUGAAUUAUUUUUUUUCUCAGUAAUUUCUCCGUUUAAGAUCCCUCCUGAGAAAUCUUUACUGUAUUAACUUCAGCUUUGCUGCAUCUUUAUCUUUAAAUAGCUCUUUUAAAUUUGCUUAGGCAAAUAUGGGGCUUCGUCUGUCUUCAACGGUAUUAAAAUAGUAUCUGAAGGGGGUGUCACCUGGGUAAGAAGACACACCACUAGACGAUACUGUAAAUGAGAGACAGAUGGAUUGCUGCUCAGAGACAACAAGAUUAUGGCCAGAAACCUGUUUACCUUUGCAAUACAGCCACCAAGCUGAACAAGUCAUCAGAACAGAACUGAGCUGAAUAAUGCAUAUCUCUACCAGUCUCUAAUUCUCUCAGCUGCAGAAGAGUUCUUUCACACCAGAGCCCCUCUUUAGCAUGCUUGCAGAGUUGUCUAAACAGAUUCAAGUGCUGGAAAGCACCUUUGGUUUAAGUUUUGCUUUGACAUUUUGUAAGUGCUGGCAUGUUGGUGGCUAGCUAACAGAAGGACUUCAGUCUUUUUGCUACAGCUGCCCUUAUGGUAAGUCUGCUGACAUACCUUAUUGUUUCCGUGAUAUGGAUGGGCUCUCUCUGGGCUAUCAGAAAGGUUCCUUCCAACAGUGUCUGCCUGUCAUGGGUAGGAACCAGGAGGACUCGCUGACCACAAAUUGUAAGUUAACAGACAUGAAAUUUAAUACAAAAAGCCAACAGAGCUGCUCAGCUGAAUUGAGCUACCACUGCAAAAUAAACAGUGAAGACAAUACCUGUUACGGGUAUUAUAGCAGAGAUUGAACAGGUAUUAUGAUUUCCAAAGCUGCUUUUUGAACUCUGGAACAUUCUAGACUGUUUAUGCGUAGCUUCAUGUCUUUUUCUUCAGUCUUAGAGGCUGCUGUGGGGGCUGAAUUUUCCAGUUGUGUACUUACUGGCAGUCCUUGCAGAUCAGGGUAGGUUUGUGUUUCUGUUAUUUGGUCAGAAAAGAAGAGAGAACAUGUCAUGUGUCAGACAGCGAAUUAUUUGCGCUUAGGCUUGGAAUGGUGAACGGACCUCUGAUCUCAGUAGUGCUAAUCUUGGCAUAGAUAAUACUCAGCUUGAAGUAAGGUGAUAAAGAAAAGUCUUCCAGUAGCUUAGCAGACUUACAGAUGCUUGUGUGACUAUGAGGUUCAGGUUCAGGACAAGUCUCUGUCCUCACUACAUGUCUUUCUUGGCAGAUGUAUCAUUGCAGUGGUCAUCAGAUGGAGAACCCAAUGGUGAAGCAGCGCUGUUGGAUCCAAAUCUCAGACAGAUGAGGGAGGUCUGUGACCUAGUAACAAAACAGAAUGAUGUCUUCCUCCUUUUUAAAGGAGGGAGAUCAGUGCUUGGCCUCAAUUACAGAUGGAUUAAACAUGUUGAUCCUGGACCACAGGGGUUUGGCCUUUCCUUUUUGUAGCAUUAUUUUCAGUAUACUCAGUGUUAAUCAGAGAAAGCUAAUUGCAUAGGAUUUUAUGCUGUCUUCUCUCAAUUUGCAGAAGAAAUAAUGUUCAUCAUCAAACCAGCAAACAAGAUGCUGCAUGUUUCUAGUCAUAGGACAUAGAGAAAGUUCUGCUUAGUGUUGCAGUUCAGGUUUGGAGCUGGACAAAAGCGAAGAAAAUCCCCCAGUAUAGUGAUGGUUUACAUGCCAGCACAUUGCUGGUACUUCAGAAGAACUAUAAAACCAAAGCCUUUGUGUCUUUUACUGUAGGUCCAGGCUCUGACCUCAGGUGUGGUAGCUUUAUAGGUAGGGAGCUUUAUAUAGAACAGUGAACUCUAAAACCUCACGUAAGAUACUGUCUUCCUGAUGUAGUAAUGAAGAGGACCAAUUCAAGUGCUCUUCAAGGGAAGGAAGAAAGCAGAAACGGGACUAAUUGGAUAUUAAAAUAAUUCUCUUUCAAUUAACUAUUUUCCAAAGUAUUAGCCAAAGAACCCUCCUUACUUCUGAUGCAAGUAAAUGUAUGUCUUGGCUGGUCUGUCUAGUAGAAACUUGUCUGGGCUUGACUUGUGUACUUCCUUCUCUGAGGGAAAUGUGAUGUGGCUGGGGGUGGUCCUUGUUUUUCUCAUUGCUCUCUUGGUUGGUGAAUACUGGUUGGUUUAAUUCCCUCUGGAAAGAGCGGCACAACACGGAGCAGCAGCAUGCAGCUCAGGGGUGCUCCCAGCACCGUGUCUGGUCUCUUCCAGAAUGCAGUGACCUCACCCUCUGUGAGAGAAGAUGUUACAAUCUUGGCUGAUUCCUGUACGUGAGGAAAUGUGUUUUCUCACUGCGGCAGUCACGGAAGUAACACAAAGCCAGUGACCUGGCAGCAAUCAGAGAGGGAGAGGAGGACCCACAACUCCACCACAAGGUCCAGGAUGCAUCUGCACACCCACUGCCAGGUGUGGGAUCAUCCAGGGAUGGUUUUGUUGGAGAACACAUCUCCACCUGACUUCAGUGGGGUCUUCCCCUCAAAGUGAAUGCUAGGCAGCCAUCAAAGCGCUGUUUGUGAGCGAGACUCAUGAACUAAUUAGUCACUAGGCCCAUUAAUCAGAAAGACUAGAAAUAAUUCAGCAGAAUUCGUGCUGUCAGCAAGGAUGAGAAGAGCCUUCUCUAUGACAGCUUACCUUGCAUUUUGAUCAUUAGGCGAUUCGGAGUUUAGCCCAUCCGUCUUGUUUAUCUGCCCUCAGGGGAAAAUAAUCCCUGCAUCCCAGCCAUCUCGACAAGUUUGAAAUUCAAACAUAUUUUCAGUUCUGUCAGUAAAAUAUCAAAUGGGCACAUUCAGGUGAGUAUUGACACACAGCAGUGCCGGUGCCUUUUUUUUUUUUUUUCUCCAAACGUGUUGUAAACAAAUCCUUCCUCUCUCUGCUGCUGUGCUGCAUGUUGUAGCUCAACACCAUCUCAGGGAAAGUGAAAGGUGGAGUGAGUGCACAGGUCAUUAAAAAGUAGUUAAAUUGAAAAAUGCUAAUUUUUCCUAGCAGCCUUCCCAUGACAUGCCAAAAGCCUUCCCCAGUGCAACUCCACCUUCUUGUAUGUUGGGUGAGAUUUAUUGACGUGAUUUGAGUAAGAGGUACAUCUUAGAAUAAUCAAGGCAGUGUUUAUUCUGGCUCUCCUUGCAUCUUUUCCCCACAUCAGAAAUCCAUCCAGAGCCCAUGCAGUAAAAAUUUCUUUAAGAGAUAUGUACCGCACAGUUGGUAUUAAGUAGAUCGGUCACUCUAGAAUGUGUACACUUAACAAGGCAGUAACAGAUGGUCUCAGAUCUUGGUAUGGAGUUGUUGUGGCUGCUGUUUUUUCAUUAAUCGUUAAUUGCUGGAAGAGGAAAUCAUGCAUCUCAGUCUGCCAAAGCCCAGAGAUGGGUCUCGCUGUGUAGCUGGGAUGCAGAGAGUGGAGCAGAGAAGAGAGAUGUCUGGUUGGAAUCCUGGGAUGCGGUGAAUUCGUGCCCUUUGCUAGAAGGACUGUCUGUCAUCUCCAUUUUAGGGAGAUGCAAAGGAAUUUGUCUGGGAUGCAAAGAAAUCUCGACUUGGAGCAGGGAAGGCUCACCAGACUCCCAGGGACUGGAAGCAAUUUGGGAGGUAAAAUGAGUUGUCUCUCCAGGGAAAGUCUGUCUGAGAGGAACUGUUGGCCUACUUGAGGUCGUACGAAUAUGCAGUUGAGACUGCAGAGGGCUGAUGUAAUGGUAAUGCGGACCAGGCCAGGACCAAUUGGUUGUGCUGUAUACAUACCCUGUUUUGUAUUUGUAAUGCAACCAGGUGAAGUGCUUGAUUCCAGAGAUACUGUUUUCAAGUUCUGUUUGUCUGGUGGAGUGUUCGUGGAAAAAUGUUCUUUUAAAUAACCUUUUCUUUCUUGCCCACAGAAUGCAUUUUCACUAUGUUAUUUACUUACCCCCACAAAAGAGAGUUACCAUAGCAAAGUCUUAGAGGAACUGCCGUCACUGUUGAAAAAAUGGACCUACAAGAUUAACCCUGUAGCCCAGCUACCAUUUAUUGACAGAAUUAUAGUUUUUUCUCACUGUAAUUUUUGUUUCUGUUCUUUUCUGUGCUGUUCUUACUGCUGUAUAUUCUUUCCUCAUCCAUUCUUCUAUUGUCAGAAGGUGCUCCUCCUUAGGCUAAGCCUACCUAUGUAGUUUAACCUUGUGUUUCUUUAUGAGAAAUGCAGAUUAAGGAUGGCAUCUGUCUGUUGCAUAUACAUGACAAGUAUGGAGCUUCAUGACUGUGUUGCUUCCAGCUGUUAUAGCUGUGGGUAUUGUUUAUGGGCUCUGCUACCCUAAAAAGACUUCCUUUAGCUGGGGAAGGAUCUCCUUUACCUAUUCUUUUACUCUCUUUGAUAUUUCAGAUAAAAUAAUCUGAUUCCAGGCAGUACAUAUAAACAGUCAGUGUGAUAUGUAUGUUGAGGCCCAGAUCGCUUGUCCAAAUGAUACGCAGCAGAGCUUAGAAAUCCAGACUUUGUAUCCUGGCCGUGUUCCUGCCUCUACCUUUCCUUACUGCCUCAUCAGCUGCCUGUGCUGUAUCACUUCUGGAGAACUUAUUGUAAUACCAUUGUGUUUUUCAUCUAUCCUGAAGUCACGAUGGGUUCAUCCAGUUUCAUUCCGGGAUGGUUGAAGAAGAACAAGUCAAAAACUUCUGACAAAUAUCAAAAAAUCCUUGUGUUGUCAGAAUGAAAUGUAUGGCUGCUUCAAAAGGUAGGAUAAAAAAUUUAUGUUUUGACUUUUUAAUUUCAUAUAAUGUAUUAUAAUGUAAAAUAAAAAACUAGGUCAAAAUUAAUUUCAUACUAGCACAAGCUAGUGGAGUUUUACCUGUAGGCUGUAAUUUUUUUCAAAGUGAAAGGUUUCAUAUAUGUGUAAGGAGAUACCGCUCUCUCUUUUUGUGAUUUUUCUUAUCAGUCUCAUUAUGCCUUUGUGUGAUCCUUCUUUGUGCUGUACCUUACAUAUUGCUAGCAUUUAUUCCUUGUAGUACACAAAUGCUGAUUAUUAAAAGUUUUCAAAGCAUUUUUCAUUUUUAGUAUUACUUCUCUCCUUUUCUAAAACCUCCCUAGGAAUUACAGGUUGGGUAUGACUUGGAAAAUUCUCUUGUUUUGAAGCUUUAAGCAGUGCCGUUUGAUUAGUUUGUGGCUGUUAAGAGUGCAAACUGUCCAAUCCAACAUAGUGACUGAGCCUUCCUCAUGAUCUUGUAAGAAUGCAUCAGUUCCCAGAGGUGCAUAACUCAGAUCUCUUCACUGAUGAAUAGGAAAACCCUGCUGCUGCUUCUGUUACCCUGCAUUAGCAAGAGAAAGAAACAAGUAAGAUGGGAAAAAAAAAAGAAAAAAAAAGAGAAGGAGAAAAUGACCUGCAAAACUGAUGAUGAUACGGAACAAGAAAGAAUAAAAGGAGAAAAUAUUAACAACUGGUCUGAAUAGCCUUUCUUUAUGCUACUUGGAGCUGCUUUUUUUUGUUGUUUGUUUGUUUGUUUGUGGCUUUUUUUUUUAAUGGUGGAAGAAUGUUUAACAUCAGUUAUAACAAAGGUUCUCUUUUUUUUUUUUUUUUAAUUCACUGUUUCUUUAAGGAGUCUUGCUCUUAAUCCAUUAGCAGUCAUUUCUUCCAGCUAGGUGCAAUAGUCAGUUGUUAGUGCACAUUUUGACCAUCCAUCUUCAAUUAUCCAUUAAUGCUUUCUCACACGGUGCACAGAAGGCAUGCACCGAUGGCUAAUGCACAUUCUGUUGGUUGCACUUCAGUGGUCUUUCAUCUUUUCCUGUUGAAGCAGUCGUCAUCUACCUGCCUGAGGUGUAAGUGUGCACUGAAGUCAGUGGGAGAAGAGUGAUGCAUGCUGCUGGUUCCCAGUUCUCCCACAGAUGUUCUGGAUGCCCUUGGGUGUCGCGCUUACAGCGCUGUCUGCCUCAGUCCGUAUCUGUUGAGAAGCGAUGAUGGUAUUUCCUUUGUCUGCUUACCCUGCAGACCAGCUCUUUAAGGACUGUGACCUCCUGAAGCCUCAUAAUAUUACUGUACUAUAAGACAAGAAUAGUUUUCUUAAUUUAAUUUUUAAUUGAAGGUUUUUUAUUCAGUUUAAAAUGUGAAGAUUUUUAUCGCGUUAUGGCUAUCCGUAAAGAUGACCAGUGUAUUCAUGUGGCACGUACUGAUUGGUAUCCUAUAUUUAUUUUGACUUUCCAGGCUGAAAGGUGAUGACCUUCAUCUUAUCCAUGGAAAUUUUUAGAGCAGUGCUCAUGCUUUUCUUGCUGCAAAACAUACCAAACAUUAGUUAAAGCUGUAAAGGAGAUGAACAGUGUAUUGGGACCGUGCUGCUCUGCUAUCAUCUGGUAUAAUGGUUUUCUUUUUGCCAUUUAAGAUUAAAACACAUAUGGAACUUGC